This 429-nucleotide ribosomal RNA is filed under the name uncultured prokaryote. RNAcentral's name for it is "bacterial SSU rRNA". It matches the Rfam family "Bacterial small subunit ribosomal RNA", at positions 355 to 796 of the family's 1533-position model. The record is from RNAcentral.
UGGGGAAUCUUGCGCAAUGGGCGAAAGCCUGACGCAGCGACGCCGCGUGCGGGAAGAAGGUCUUCGGAUUGUAAACCGCUUUCAGGGGGGAAGAAGCGAGAGUGACGGUACCCCCAGAAGAAGCCCCGGCCAACUACGUGCCAGCAGCCGCGGUAAUACGUAGGGGGCGAGCGUUGUCCGGAAUUAUUGGGCGUAAAGAGCUCGUAGGCGGUCCGGUAAGUCGGAUGUGAAAUCUCAGGGCUCAACCCUGAAACUGCAUCUGAUACUGUCGGACUUGAGGCAGGUAGGGGAGGGUGGAAUUCCUGGUGUAGCGGUGAAAUGCGCAGAUAUCAGGAGGAACACCAACGGCGAAGGCAGCCCUCUGGGCCUGUACUGACGCUGAGGAGCGAAAGCGUGGGGAGCAAACAGGAUUAGAUACCCCCGUAGUCC